GCAACCCUUACCUAAGAUGCCUUCAGCUAGUUAGUCACUCUAAUGGGACUGCCGGUGACAAACCGGAGGAAGGUGGGGAUGACGUCAAGUCCUCAUGGCCCUUAUGACCAGGGCUUCACACGUCAUACAAUGGUCGGUACAGAGGGUCGCGAAGCCGCGAGGUGGAGCCAAUCUCAUAAAACCGAUCGUAGUCCGGAUCGCACUCUGCAACUCGAGUGCGUGAAGUCGGAAUCGCUAGUAAUCGCAGAUCAGCAUGCUGCGGUGAAUACGUUCCCGGGUCUUGUACACACCGCCCGUCACACCAUGGGAGUGAGUUUCACCAGAAGUGGGUAGGCUAACCUCGUAAGGAGAGCCAGGCUUACCCAUGGGUGUUU
This 374-nucleotide ribosomal RNA is filed under the name Chromobacterium haemolyticum. Its description in RNAcentral is "bacterial SSU rRNA". It matches the Rfam family "Bacterial small subunit ribosomal RNA", at positions 1098 to 1469 of the family's 1533-position model. Lineage: Bacteria; Pseudomonadati; Pseudomonadota; Betaproteobacteria; Neisseriales; Chromobacteriaceae. The record is from RNAcentral.